This is a long non-coding RNA of Mesocricetus auratus (golden hamster), 4806 nucleotides long. RefSeq lists it as uncharacterized. The transcript is spliced from 2 exons. The record is from RefSeq and is a predicted model, not a curated record. NCBI's taxonomy places the organism in Eukaryota, Metazoa, Chordata, Mammalia, Rodentia, Cricetidae.
AGUAACAAGCAAAACAAUAUUGAAAAACUUUUGAGUUGUCUUUAUUGUGUUCAAUGUUUUUGGCAGCAAGCUUAGUGCAUCUUUUGGAGCAUGAUACAAGUGUCAUGCACCUUUUUCCUGGUAUUUAUAAACUGGCUGACAUUGAUAUCUCCCUAAGCUUCAGCUCCAAGCUAAACAUACAAAACUGAUGAUUGCAUUAUUUAUGCUCCAACCUGAAACACAUAGACACCUAGUGAUAUAGUACCCUCUCUGCUGAUUUAGGCUUUUUUUUUUAACCCCAUUUAAUAAGCAUUUGAAUCACCUGGGAAUCUUGUUAAAGGGCAGAUUCUAGUUCUGUGGGUCUAGGGUCAACCUCACAAUUUUCAUUAUGACAAGCUCCCAGAUGACUGGUCUCCUGGCCUUGGGCUUCAUUAUGUAAUGUCAGAGUUCUAGCUGAGGGAGACUUGAGUCAGGAAGGUCCAGGAGAUCCAGAACCUAUGCUGUCUCCCCUAAUCGAACUGCCUGUUGAGACCAGGAUAUAGACCACAUCUUGGGACUGAUCCAGACACAGUGUCUAUCACUGAAACUCUCUGAAUUGGAAACUGUGGAGCUAAAGGAAAGAUGGCACUUGUGAUUGUUUGGGAAUAUUUACAUAAGCUAUGCAUACAUACAUGCAUGUAUAUAUACAUACAUACACACACUGAUUUUAACCUACAGUGAUUUUAAUCUAUUUGUUCUUUUAGCACCUAUAUUAUUUUAUUAAAAAAUUGAAGUUUUAAACAGUUAUAGAAGUUACCUCUGCCAUUCAAUGUAAAAGUUGCCAUUUACAAACUAGACAGUCUAAUCAUCCUUUGGGGGAGAUAGUCUGAAUUCUAAGAUAUGACUGUGUAGGAAUUUGUCCUAAGGUGUCGCCAGUGUCACCAGAUGAGGAUAAACACGACUCUCUAUCCAGUGCUGUUUCUUAAUCUGCUGCUGCCCCUGUGCUGUCUUAGCAAGUUCUAGAUGAGUUCCAAGGCUAAGAAAACUCCCUUGGUUAGAGUUUGCCAAACAAGAAGGCUGUUUUGAAAGGGUUGUUGGAAAAGAGGGCUCACUGGACACAGCACUUUCCGGGGAGAUGAGAUUCAGAGAGUGUAUAUAGGAAGUGCGAAUGUAGGCAUUAAUUCCCUUUAAGCUCCCCAGGCAGCUCUGCAAGUUUGUGUAUCCUUGGGGGUAUAUGUACCUCCAUUUAAAGACUACUGUCUUGGAGUACUCAUGUUCAUGCUCAAAUACUGACAUUACAGGAUUACAGGAACAUUCACUGAAUCCUAUCCAAUAAAAACAGGUUGUGGAAGCUGAUUUUUAUGGACACAAAUGUGAGGUAAUUAAAUCCAAACUGGCUUAAAGCAGUGUCUUAUUACAGCUUUUCUUUAGAGUUUCUUUUAUGGCUCAAAAUUGUUUUAACUUACUGUGGUUUAUCACUAUUAUUAUGUGCAAUGCCAGUUACUUGCUUUUUCAAAAAUAUCACAUCUGUCAUCUUGAGUGUUUUUUUGGUACCAACCAUAAUGCUGGCCUUUCAAUAUAAAUUACACAUUCAGAGGGUCCUUUCAGUUUUUAUUUAUACACAUAUAUGUCAACAUGCAUCAGCCUAUAUUUUAUCUCCUCAGUGUGACAUGGUUAAUAAUAUGCAGCAUAUAAUGCACAUACAAAACAGAUGGUGCCCAUCUAGAUGCUGUAUAGCCAAUCAUACCCAUAGAAUUUAUAUUACAGUUCUCAUUAUUUAUGUACAUCAUAAUCAACUCCACUAAAAUAUUAUCUUCUUAAGACUCAAAAAAGUGUUUUCUACAGUGGUUACCGAAAAGCCCUCUGGAAGGAACCAAAUAAGUGUUGUUGUUUUUUUUUAAAGAAUGAGUGAAUGAAUAAAUAAAACAAUGGACAAAUAUGCCACCCUAUUGAGCGUGCCUCAGAUUGCCCUAGGCAGUUUUGCUCAUUUUUAAAGAUGAUUUUUCUCGGGCUUAACAUGUAUGUGGUUUUAAGUAUUUAAGAAAAUGUGGCGUGAGUCUUCCCCUCUGUGUUUUCUAAAUACAAAUACAUUAUUGUCUGUUUCGUAAUUAUGGAGCAUCAAAAAAAAAAAAACAAAACAAAAAAAUAAAACAAAACCUACUCUAACUAUUCCUUUCUUCUUUACAUUCUUCAAUACAACUCUGGUUACUUGGUUAUGAGAGGUUUAAAUGGUCACAUGCUAGUUCCUCACUCUCCUUUGAUUAUUUCAACGCUGCAAAGAAGCAGUUCUUUUACUUUCCCUCUCAGCUGAGAGCUCUGAUGCAUUCUACUUGAGUAUUGUUUUCCUGUUGGCCCACACAGAUCAGAUUAGAGUAAGUGUCAAGCAAUAGUAAAAAGUCCGUGCUCACUAGUGGCACUGUGUUACAUCUAUUCCUACAGGGACCAAACUGAAAGAAGUGAACAACUUUAGUCACUUUGGUUCUUUUCGCCCAGCCUUUUAAAGAGACAAAUACUCCACUGCUUUUGUAACGUGGAUCUUGAGUUUAGCAGUUGAUGUUUAAAUAUGGCAAUACUCAAUUUACAAGAAAGUCUUCUAGACUAGGGCUAUUAUGAGGUAAAGGGGGGGAAAAGAAAUCUGUUAUUCAAGAGUAUUCAAGAGUUCAUGGAAAGGCUAAUGAGACAGCUUAGCCCAUAAAAGAACUUAGUGCUAAGCUCGAGUACUUGGCUUUGAUCUCUGGGUCCCACAGAGUGGAAGGAGAGAACCAAUUCCCUAAAGUUGUCCUCUGAUCUCAAUAUGUGCACAUUCGCUCUUCCCCAUCUAGGUUAGUUAAUGCAAUAAAGAAAAACAAGUUUUUAGACUGAACAGAUAACUCUAACACUAUUUAACAAAAACCCCAGAACAACAGUUUCAGUUUUUAGAUCUGUUCUUUUAAAGCUUAUUGAGGAUCCCAAACUUUUGAUUGUUUGGAUUUUAUCUGAAUUUACUGUAUUAUUAAAAUUAAGGCCUCCAUGUGGUGGAACAGACCUGUAACCCCUAGUACUUGGAAAGUGGAGGCAGAGGCAUCAGGAGUUUAAACUUUUCCUUGGAUACAUAACAUAAAGAGCAUUUUUAGUGGAAAAAUAACCUAGAAACAAACAAAAAAAUUAUGAGCUGCAUUGUACUAUACAAGCUGUACUGAGGACACUGGAUCCUCAGAUCUAUUUUACACAUUCCAUUAGCUAUAGUAGCCAAGGCAUCAUCACAGGUCAUGUAGGAGCUGGAAAACAUGUGCAUUUUUGAGAGAGUGGUAAAAGGGGUGUUUAUGACUCUUGGGGUGACCUUGCUGAUCUCUUGAAGAGGCUGAGCUUUGAAGUCGUUGCUGUAGAGAAUAUGCAGGAGAAAUGUAAUGGCAAAUGACUUCCUCCAGAAAAGCUUAAGAUUUGUGAUACCACUCUGUUCUUCAUGCUGUUGCUUAGCAGCCCUUGUUUCAUCAUGAUAGAAUCCCUAGUCUGCUCUGAUGAUUUCAUCAUUAAUAUAUCCAUUUGUUUGCUGCCCAUCAUAAGAGAUAGGUUUUCUGCCUUCAAUUUGUUCUUCUCAGUUCUUUGAACUAUCUAUCUAUAUACUGUUAAUGUUUUCCUUGAAACGAUUCUUUGAAAUGAGAGAAUCUCAACCAAUGAUUUUGUAGUUGGCUAGCUUGGUAGUUUUGUUUUUUUGAAGAGGUUCUUGCCCUGAAGCCCAGGCUGGCUUUGAAGUCAGCCUCCUGAGUGCUGGGAGUGCCACUAAAUGGACCAAGUUGCUUGUUGUUUAAUAUGGGUUCAACAACUACAGCUCAGCUGACAUUUAAUUCAUUUCAGAGCUUUAUAAGAUCUACUCCCCAGCUCUUCUCCCUUCCCAGAAGAAAAGGAAUACGCAAUUUCCAGUGCAGAGCCAGCCAGCGUACCAAUGGAUGUACCUAGCUGUCCUUCCCAAAGCCUGUCUGCUGUUGACUCAUACUGGCUCUUCCUUGAAUGUGAAUGUGCACCUUCUCUGCUGGCUUCACUGUCAGACUUGAUCUGUAUGGGCACACAGAUGGCAGGGUGGGUCAGCUGACUUAGGACAGACCCGAAGGGAACAGCCCUUUUUUCCCCCUGUAAAUAUUUGGCAGGCUUUUUUUCUUGAGUUAAAGAGAAAUUGUUAAGACUACUAAGGACAUUACUAGGGCUAUUUAUGUUCUGUUAUCUGUCCAGAAAAACAAAACAAACAAAAAUCCCAGGUUUGAAUGAUGAAGCUUGCUUUGCUCUGCAGCCCACCUUCCUGCUGAGGACCUAACCCUUUGAAAGAUAUGCUGAUUUUUAUAUUGGGAGAUUUUUGACAGUGCCUCCCCAGAAUAACAUAGACUGUCCUUGAACUUUCGAUCUUCCUGUCUCAGCCUCAAGUGUCUACAUCACCAUCAGUGGCUCAUGUUGUUCCAUAACUGAAUUUUAGUUGUCUUUAUAUACUUUUAAUUCUUUGAGCAAUAUGGAUUUCAGUCUUCAUUUACAGAUCAGUAUUCAUGGAGAAAUAUCUCAAUGUGUAUAUUAAAGGGUGGGAUCCCACUUUACCCUUUACCUUCCAAACUGAAACUACAGAUGCUAACUUCUUAUCUAGAGUGUCUAGAAAUAGACAAGCAAAUAUAAGUCUCUCAUUCUCUCAUUUUCUUACACAUGAUAGCUACUUAGCAAUCUUUUUUUUGUUUGGUUGGUUUUUUUUUUUGGUCAUACUGCAUUUCUUGGAGCUUUCCACUUGAUCACGGUCCUCAAGCAGGAGCAGAAAAAGUCAGUAGAAUUUGAUCUGGUUAAAAUUUUCAUGUUAAAAUUUGUAAGACUUUAAAAGGCAAAAUAAUGGAUAAA